GUGUUUGCUUCAGGAGCACAUAUACUAAAAUUGUAGUGAUUUAAAGAAGAUUUGCAUGGCCCUUGCACAAGGAAUGAGACUAGAAGUUGGCACAGAAGGUUAAGGCUC
Molecule: small nuclear RNA, 108 nt
Organism: Protopterus annectens (West African lungfish)
Lineage: Eukaryota; Metazoa; Chordata; Ceratodontiformes; Protopteridae
Source: RefSeq, a predicted model, not a curated record